GCAAGUCGAGCGGUAACAGGAAGUAGCUUGCUACUUUGCUGACGAGCGGCGGACGGGUGAGUAAUGCCUAGGAAAUUGCCUUGAUGUGGGGGAUAACCAUUGGAAACGAUGGCUAAUACCGCAUAAUGCCUACGGGCCAAAGAGGGGGACCUUCGGGCCUCUCGCGUCAAGAUAUGCCUAGGUGGGAUUAGCUAGUUGGUGAGGUAAUGGCUCACCAAGGCGACGAUCUCUAGCUGGUUUGAGAGGAUGAUC
Molecule: ribosomal RNA, 252 nt
Filed under: uncultured bacterium
Lineage: Bacteria
Description: partial 16S ribosomal RNA
Rfam family: Bacterial small subunit ribosomal RNA
Source: RNAcentral